RNAcentral lists this ribosomal RNA (253 nucleotides) under uncultured bacterium. RNAcentral's name for it is "partial 16S ribosomal RNA". It matches the Rfam family "Bacterial small subunit ribosomal RNA", at positions 524 to 776 of the family's 1533-position model. The record is from RNAcentral.
UACGGAGGAUGCGAGCGUUAUCCGGAUUUAUUGGGUUUAAAGGGUGCGUAGGUGGUAAUUUAAGUCAGCGGUGAAAGUUUGUGGCUCAACCAUAAAAUUGCCGUUGAAACUGGGUUACUUGAGUGUGUUUGAGGUAGGCGGAAUGCGUGGUGUAGCGGUGAAAUGCAUAGAUAUCACGCAGAACUCCGAUUGCGAAGGCAGCUUACUAAGCUACAACUGACACUGAAGCACGAAAGCGUGGGGAUCAAACAGG